UCCACGCCAUAUCAGGCCAUCAAACACCUUAAAACCUAUACUAGGAUGAUAGAAGGUUUGAUGAGGUGCCAUAUGGGUCUUAAACCCAAUUAAGAAGGACUCUCCAUGUUCCUUCACGCCAAAAAGAAGUUACCAAACCAAAAAUUCUACACCAAGUUAGGUAAGAGUCCAUAUCUCUUUGGACUCUAUUUUUUUUGAUCCCUCCUUGGGCCAAGUGGUGCCAUCUGAUGGCUGCCCAC
This 239-nucleotide long non-coding RNA is filed under the name Elaeis guineensis (African oil palm). Its description in RNAcentral is "long non-coding RNA (EGUI_LNC045418)". Lineage: Eukaryota; Viridiplantae; Streptophyta; Magnoliopsida; Arecales; Arecaceae. The record is from RNAcentral.